Molecule: transfer RNA, 67 nt
Filed under: Opisthorchis viverrini
Lineage: Eukaryota; Metazoa; Platyhelminthes; Trematoda; Opisthorchiida; Opisthorchiidae
Rfam family: tRNA
About the family: Transfer RNA (tRNA) molecules are approximately 80 nucleotides in length. Their secondary structure includes four short double-helical elements and three loops (D, anti-codon, and T loops).
Source: Rfam by way of RNAcentral
GGUAGAGUAGUGGUUCCACGCUCACCUUGCAUGUCAGAUGUUCUGGGUUCAAAUCCCGGCAUGACCA